UCUCCGUUGGUGAACCAGCGGAGGGAUCAUUACUGAGUUUACGCUCUGUAACCCUAUGUGAAUUAUACCUAUACCCGUUGCCUCGGCAUGGUUGGCUUCUUAGAAGUCCCUUUUACCCAAAAGGAGCAGACCUGCCGGUGGCCCUAUAAACUCUAUGUUUUUUGUACAUCAUCUGAGUAACAACUAAAAAAAAAUGAAUCAAAACUUUCAACAACGGAUCUCUUGGUUCUGGCAUCGAUGAAGAACGCAGC
RNAcentral lists this unclassified non-coding RNA (251 nucleotides) under uncultured fungus. RNAcentral's name for it is "sequence contains ITS1, 5.8S rRNA gene". The stretch from base 203 to 251 matches the Rfam family "5.8S ribosomal RNA", at positions 1 to 49 of the family's 154-position model. Lineage: Eukaryota; Fungi. The record is from RNAcentral.